RNAcentral lists this long non-coding RNA (770 nucleotides) under Homo sapiens (human). RNAcentral describes it as "non-protein coding lnc-LARP1B-1:8". Lineage: Eukaryota; Metazoa; Chordata; Mammalia; Primates; Hominidae. The record is from RNAcentral.
CCUGACAGCUCCCUUUGAGUUCCUGUUCAUCUGAAGUACACCAGCUUUCUAGAUAUGCUGUCACUUUCCUUCUGCAGAGCCACAGUGGUGUCCUGUCUUCUCAGACCUCUUCUCACCUCAAAUCACUUAGGACUCGGCCACCAGACAGAUUUGGGAUUUCAGAACUUUUCAGAUGUUAGAAAGUUCUUUUCUAAAUGUGAUGAGGAAUUACGGAAUCAUAAAAUGGAAGCAGAGUUAAACUCAGACAUGUGGGCACUCAAGGCAAUUAGGAGCUUUCUGCGAUGAGAAAGGGAUCAGACUGAUCCUUAAGACUUUAUGCAACCCCAGAGUAUUGCAGCCACCUGCAUGCCGAAGGUGUCAAGAGUGUUCUCACUGCUGCCUAUAGGAGGGUCUUCAGCCUCCAGUGAUCCAAAGUACCAGGCUGACCUGUGACUGCUUCGGCCAACUGAAUAGGGAAGAGUGAUGCUGUGCUGUUUCCAGGCCUGUUCUUUAAAAGUACUUGGAAGCUUCUGCCUUGGCCUCUUUGUGCCUGAGUUGCUGUAUAAGAAUCUGACUACCUUGCUGGAGAGACCUUGUGGAGAAGACUUGACCUUAUAUGCAGAGGUAGAGGGGCCCUGGUUAGUCCAGCCAUCUAGCCAUCCUGUCAAAAUAGCAGGUAUGUGAGAAAAGCUGUCUUGAUUCCUCCAGCCCAGCCCAGCCACCAACUGAAUAAUACCAAGUAUAUGUACCUCAAAUGGAGGAAAAGAACUGCUCAGCUAAGUCCUGCCCAA